AAGCCGGUGUUUAAAAAUAAAAAACAAAUAGAACACUACACCAUUCAUAAGCCAGAGCUACUAACAAACAUUGUUCUCUACAUUAAAUUUGUCAGGUUGAUAUGAAAGACAGUUGGCUGACUGAUAUCAAGGCUGCUCAAUGUUUUUUAUUCCAUAUAUUGUCUGGGAAAGCCACCGAAAUGUGAAGGCAGUUUAGUCAGUGGGCACAAUACUGAAUUUGUCCUGGUAUUUGUGAAUUGACAGACAGGCCUUGAUGGGAAACAACCUGAACUUCAGACAGCCUCAAUGGGAGAGUGAAGGAUCUUUCCCAGUUAGGUGGGACUAGAGGUAAACAGGAAAGAGAGGUAAGAGAAACUUUGUCCUCGACCGCACCACAAGAACAGGGACCAUUACCGGGUUCCUAGGGAGUCAUACAGUUCCCCAGCUUGUACAGUAAAAUGACAUUCACAUGAAAGUCCCUGGAUUGUACCGAUUACAAACGGAGUUCAGCUCACUGUUGAUGAGUCAGCUUUAUUAACAAAGACUUGAGUGUACUUUGAACAUAAGCUGAUAGAAUUAACCCCAUGAGUCAUCUUACCAUGAGCUAUUUCAUUUCCUAUACUCCCCGCACAGUGGAAGUGAGCUGAUAUUGACACUGAUUGUGCUGUUUGAAUCCUGAAUUGCGUAGACCUCUUCACGUCUAAUGUCUUUGAUGAAGCAGUGAAAUCCGAUUUGUUUAGGAGAAAACUACAAAUGAUACACAAUUUAAUUUCAUAGUUUAUUUCUUUUCAUAUAAAAAAAGUGUCAGUAACUGACGUCAGUCAGAAGUUUGAAAAAAAAGCUCAACUUCCUCUCAAAACACUUCCAAAUGUACCAUUCCUUUAUCAACAUCGCCCCUCCUCCUCAUCACUCAUUCAUCUGUCUGAAUCUCUCAAUCCACCCUCAGAAGAAUGCAGUAAGUUAAUGGUUUUAGUAAACAAAAAACAAAACAGCAGAGGUUUCUCACCUCUGUUCAAAAUUAUAA
This is a long non-coding RNA of Etheostoma cragini (Arkansas darter), 1003 nucleotides long. RefSeq lists it as uncharacterized. The record is from RefSeq and is a predicted model, not a curated record. The transcript is spliced from 2 exons. Lineage: Eukaryota; Metazoa; Chordata; Actinopteri; Perciformes; Percidae.